CGCCUGAAUCUUAUAUAAAGGAAAAUCUACUUGCAUUUUUCGCACCCAUUAUAUAAGAUUGAGGCUCU
RNAcentral lists this microRNA precursor (68 nucleotides) under Fasciola hepatica (liver fluke). RNAcentral describes it as "microRNA fhe-mir-11584 precursor". The record is from miRBase by way of RNAcentral. Lineage: Eukaryota; Metazoa; Platyhelminthes; Trematoda; Plagiorchiida; Fasciolidae.